UGCAGGAGUUCCUUUAUAGCUACCAUCUGGUCAGGGCCUGAAGUAGCUACAAUCUCUUUCAUUUGAUUGAUAUGGUUCUCUUUCUCCACGAGAGCUGCCUCCAAUUCUUUCUGAGUAUUGGUGAGAAACCAUAUCCGUACCUCCAGGAGGGCUUGGAGUGACAUGAGCUGCUGCUCGCGUUCCUGGAGGAGGAUGGAGAAGACACGCCGCUCCCUCAUCUUGUGCAGGACGCCGACGCUCAGCGUGGCAGCGCCGAUGGCCAUCAGCAGCAGCAGCAGAUAGGGGAGCCUCUUGGUGCUGCUCAUUGUGUAGCCUCUUGGUUUGUGCUUACCUGCAUCCAUCUCCAUUUUCGUGUGCACCCUCUGACUAGCACCCAUCGAAGAUCUCCAGUCUUGCUCUGUUUAUUGCAGACUGUGACAAACAGCUGUGGCAGUAGUGUGAAGGAACUUGACCUUCUUUUUGGUAGCUUACAUUCUGGAAAGGAAAAGUAACUUGCUUAGGAAC
Non-coding RNA from Lolium perenne, 504 nucleotides. The record is from RefSeq and is a predicted model, not a curated record. Lineage: Eukaryota; Viridiplantae; Streptophyta; Magnoliopsida; Poales; Poaceae.